This 246-nucleotide ribosomal RNA is filed under the name uncultured microorganism. Its description in RNAcentral is "partial 16S ribosomal RNA". It matches the Rfam family "Bacterial small subunit ribosomal RNA", at positions 9 to 250 of the family's 1533-position model. The record is from RNAcentral.
GAGUUUGAUCGUGGCUCAGAUUGAACGCUGGCGGCAGGCUUAACACAUGCAAGUCGAGCGGGGGAGAUUGCUUCGGUAAUUGACCUAGCGGCGGACGGGUGAGUAAUACUUAGGAAUCUGCCUAUUAAUGGGGGACGAACAUCUCGAAAGGGAUGCUAAUACCGCAUACGCCCGUACGGGGAAAGGACGAGGGGAGUCACUUGUGACCUUGCGUUAAUAGAUGAGCCUAAGUCGGAUUAGCUAGUU